CCGUCGGUCGACGUACGUCAGAGAGGUUUGAUUCUGGCUCAGGACGAACGCUGGCGGCGUGCCUAACACAUGCAAGUCGAGCGAUGAAGUCCUUCGGGAACGGAUUAGCGGCGGACGGGUGAGUAACACGUGGGUAACCUGCCUCAAAGAGGGGGAUAGCCUCCCGAAAGGGAGAUUAAUACCGCAUAACAUUAUAUUCUCGCAUGAGAAGAUAAUCAAAGGAGCAAUCCGCUUUGAGAUGGACCCGCGGCGCAUUAGCUAGUUGGUGAGGUAACGGCUCACCAAGGCGACGAUGCGUAGCCGACCUGAGAGGGUGAUCGGCCACAUUGGAACUGAGACACGGUCCAGACUCCUACGGGAGGCAGCAGUGGGGAAUAUUGCGCAAUGGGGGAAACCCUGACGCAAGCAACGCCGCGUGAGUGAUGAAGGUCUUCGGAUUGUAAAGCUCUGUCUUUGGGGACGAUAAUGACGGUACCCAAGGAGGAAGCCACGGCUAACUACGUGCCAGCAGCCGC
Molecule: ribosomal RNA, 515 nt
Filed under: uncultured bacterium
Lineage: Bacteria
Description: bacterial SSU rRNA
Rfam family: Bacterial small subunit ribosomal RNA
Source: RNAcentral